AUUGAACGCUGGCGGCAGGCCUAACACAUGCAAGUCGAGCGGAUGAAGGGAGCUUGCUCCUGGAUUCAGCGGCGGACGGGUGAGUAAUGCCUAGGAAUCUGCCUGGUAGUGGGGGAUAACGUCCGGAAACGGGCGCUAAUACCGCAUACGUCCUGUGGGAGAAAGUGGGGGAUCUUCGGACCUCACGCUAUCAGAUGAGCCUAGGUCGGAUUAGCUAGUUGGUGGGGUAAAGGCCUACCAAGGCGACGAUCCGUAACUGGUCUGAGAGGAUGAUCAGUCACACUGGAACUGAGACACGGUCCAGACUCCUACGGGAGGCAGCAGUGGGGAAUAUUGGACAAUGGGCGAAAGCCUGAUCCAGCCAUGCCGCGUGUGUGAAGAAGGUCUUCGGAUUGUAAAGCACUUUAAGUUGGGAGGAAGGGCAGUAAGUUAAUACCUUGCUGUCUUGACGUUACCAACAGAAUAAGCACCGGCUAACUUCGUG
Molecule: ribosomal RNA, 484 nt
Filed under: uncultured bacterium
Lineage: Bacteria
Description: partial 16S ribosomal RNA
Rfam family: Bacterial small subunit ribosomal RNA
Source: RNAcentral